UACAGAGGUCCCGAGCGUUGUUCGGAAUUAUUGGGCGUAAAGGGUGCGUAGGUGGCAAGGUAAGUUAGAUGUGAAAUACCGGGGCUUAACCUCGGAAUUGCAUUUAAGACUGCCCUGCUCGAGCUCCAGAGAGGAGACUGGAAUUUACGGUGUAGCAGUGAAAUGCGUAGAUAUCGUAAGGAAGACCAGUGGCGAAAGCGAGUCUCUGGCUAGCAGCUGACACUGAGGCACGAAAGCUGGGGGAGCAAACGGG
This 253-nucleotide ribosomal RNA is filed under the name uncultured prokaryote. RNAcentral describes it as "partial 16S ribosomal RNA". It matches the Rfam family "Bacterial small subunit ribosomal RNA", at positions 524 to 776 of the family's 1533-position model. The record is from RNAcentral.